AAACCAGCACCUCAAGUGGUCAGGAUGAUUAUUGGGCCUAAAGCAUCCGUAGCCUGCUCUGUAAGUUUUCGGUUAAAUCUGUACGCUCAACGUACAGGCUGCCGGGAAUACUGCAGAGCUAGGGAGUGGGAGAGAUAGACGGUACUCGGGAGGAAGUGGUAAAAUGCUUUGAUCUCUCGAUGACCACCUGUGGCGAAGGCGGUCUAUCAGAACACGUCCGACGGUGAGGGAUGAAAGCUGGGGGAGCAAACCGGAUUAGAUACCCGGGUAGUCC
This 274-nucleotide ribosomal RNA is filed under the name uncultured bacterium. Its description in RNAcentral is "partial 16S ribosomal RNA". It matches the Rfam family "Archaeal small subunit ribosomal RNA", at positions 473 to 747 of the family's 1478-position model. The record is from RNAcentral.